Molecule: ribosomal RNA, 477 nt
Filed under: uncultured bacterium
Lineage: Bacteria
Description: partial 16S ribosomal RNA
Rfam family: Bacterial small subunit ribosomal RNA
Source: RNAcentral
GAUUAACGCUGGCGGCGUGCCUAACACAUGCAAGUCGAACGAUGAAACUUUAAUGAGCCCUUCGGGGAGAAUUAAAGCGGAUUAGUGGCGAACGGGUGAGUAACGCGUGAGUAACCUGCCUUACACAAGGGGAUAGCCUUUGGAAACGAAGAAUAAUACCCUAUAAAACCAUAAAAGCACAUGCAAUUAUGGUCAAAGUGAUAGCGGUGUAAGAUGGACUUGCGUCUGAUUAGCUAGUUGGUGAGAUAAAAGCCCACCAAGGCAACGAUCAGUAGCCGGCUUGAGAGAGUGUACGGCCACAUUGGGACUGAGACACGGCCCAGACUCCUACGGGAGGCAGCAGUGGGGAAUUUUGCACAAUGGGGGAAACCCUGAUGCAGCGACGCCGCGUGAUUUAGAAGGCCUUCGGGUUGUAAAAAUCUUUUGUAUAGGAAGAAAAUGACAGUACUAUACGAAUAAGGUCCGGCUAAUUACGUG